Molecule: ribosomal RNA, 556 nt
Filed under: uncultured Gammaproteobacteria bacterium
Lineage: Bacteria; Pseudomonadati; Pseudomonadota; Gammaproteobacteria
Description: bacterial SSU rRNA
Rfam family: Bacterial small subunit ribosomal RNA
Source: RNAcentral
GGCGGCACGCCUAACACAUGCAAGUCGAGCGGCAGCGAGGUUAGUAGCAAUACUAACUGUCGGCGAGCGGCGGACGGGUGAGGAACACGUAGGAACCUACCCUCGAGCGGGGGACAACCAAGGGAAACUUUGGCUAAUACCGCAUGAACUCGAAAGAGGAAAGUUGCCUGAAAGGGUGAUACUUGAGGAGGGGCCUGCGUCCGAUUAGCUAGUUGGUAGGGUAACGGCCUACCAAGGCGAUGAUCGGUAACUGGUCUGAGAGGACGGCCAGCCACACUGGGACUGAGACACGGCCCAGACUCCUACGGGAGGCAGCAGUGGGGAAUAUUGGACAAUGGGGGCAACCCUGAUCCAGCGAUGCCGCGUGAGUGAAGAAGGCCUUCGGGUCGUAAAGCUCUUUAGGCUGGGAAGAAUGUUUAUCUGAAGAUAAUGCAGAUAGAUUGACGGUACCGGCAGAAUAAGCACCGGCAAACUCUGUGCCAGCAGCCGCGGUAAUACAGAGGGUGCGAGCGUUAAUCGGAAUUACUGGGCGUAAAGGGUGCGUAGGCGGUUUUGA